UACGUGGGGUGCAAGCGUUGUCCAGAAUUAUUGGGCGUAAAGAGCUCGUAGGCGGUCUGUUGCGUCGGCUGUGAAAACCCGGGGCUCAACCCCGGGCCUGCAGCCGAUACGGGCAGACUAGAGUUCGGCAGGGGAGACUGGAAUUCCCGGUGUAGCGGUGAAAUGCGCAGAUAUCAGGAGGAACACCGGUGGCGAAGGCGGGUCUCUGGGCCGAUACUGACGCUGAGGAGCGAAAGCGUGGGGAGCGAACAGG
This 253-nucleotide ribosomal RNA is filed under the name uncultured bacterium. Its description in RNAcentral is "partial 16S ribosomal RNA". It matches the Rfam family "Bacterial small subunit ribosomal RNA", at positions 524 to 776 of the family's 1533-position model. The record is from RNAcentral.